GUGUCAGCAGCCGCGGUAAUACAGAGGGUGCGAGCGUUGUCCGGAAUCACUGGGCGUAAAGGGCGCGUAGGCGGCUUUGCAAGCGUGCGGUGAAAGCUCGGGGCUUAACUCCGAGUCUGCCGUGCGAACUGUGAGGCUUGAGUCUGGUAGAGGUCGAUGGAAUUCCGGGUGUAGCGGUGGAAUGCGUAGAGAUCCGGAAGAACACCGGUGGCGAAGGCGGUCGACUGGGCCAGUACUGACGCUGAGGCGCGACAGCGUGGGGAGCAAACAGGAUUAGAUACCCUGGUAGUCCACGCCGUAAACGAUGGGCACUAGGUCCUUGGGGGAGCGACCCCUUGAGGGCCGGCGCUAACGCAUUAAGUGCCCCGCCUGGGGAGUACGGCCGCAAGGCUGAA
Molecule: ribosomal RNA, 395 nt
Filed under: uncultured bacterium
Lineage: Bacteria
Description: bacterial SSU rRNA
Rfam family: Bacterial small subunit ribosomal RNA
Source: RNAcentral